CUAAUAUACCUAAAAUAACUCAAUUAACGUAUCACCAAUAAAUCUAUCUAAAUCAAAACAACCAUUUCAGCUUUCAGCCUCGAAAAACGUUUUAUUUAUUAUACAGGUAAUACAAUUUCAGCGAUGGCUUGACGGGGCCACGGGGCGAUAAGGCGACGGGGCAAUACCAGUGCGCUCUAUCUGAAAAGUUGUUACGUAGACUCUUGUCGAGUGUACCCGUAGAUCAGUCGCCUACCAACUGUGAGAGCAAGCACACAUUUUAUGUUUUAAGCUGGUCGAGUAAAUAAAGUGCGACGCAGUUUUUCUUUCAUAACAGUGUAAGAACCUCAAGGAUUAAUAAUAUUUUUGGAUAAAUAGUGAACGAAGGGUAUAAAAUGCGAACUUCCAAGCGAAAAACUGAAAGGGGAAAGACGCCUGUGGAUGUUUUUGAACAGGCUGCCCAUGAGGUUAUAAACAACGGAAAAUCUUUCAGAACAGCGGCUGCUGAUUUUAACAUUAAUUAUUCGACCUUAAGACAUUUUUGCAAAAGAAAACAGCAGGCAGAUGAAGAAGGUUUAGAUAUACCGCUUCAUGUUGGAUACAAACGACCCAGUCAGGUUUUGCCUGACGACAUGGAGGAAGAGUUGGCAUCUUAUUUGAUCGAAGAGUCGAAAUUAUACUUUGGCCUAUCAACCCGCGAAGUUUGCAGAUUGGCCUAUGAAUAUGCCGUUCACAAUAAUAUAGAAGUAAGAACAUAUUGGAAAGAUAAUCAUAUGGCGUCAACAGAUUGGCUGUCGGCUUUCCUUAAACGUCAUCCCACAUUAUCUCUAAGGUAUCCUGAAGCAACAAGCCUUAGUCGUGCAAUGACCUUUAAUAAACACAAUGUCGCAAAGUUUUUUGACCUUUUGCAGUUUUGGACCGCGAUACAUUUGAGCCCCAAGAUAUAUAUAAUGUGGAUGAAAUGGGGAUGACAACCGUACCAAAGCCGGACAGGGUAAUUGCGAAACUUGGGUCGAAACAAGUAGGAUUUAUGACGUCGGCCGAAAGAGGGACUCUGGUCACAUUUUGCUUUGCAGUUAACGCAAAUGGAAACUCAAUUCCUCCAAUGUUUUUGUUCCUUAGAAAAACUACAGGGAGUAUUUUGUUGAUAAUGGACCGCCUGGAUGUAUUGGAGCAGCCAAUCCUUCUGGCUGGAUAACAGAAACUGGCUGGAUGAUAGAGCCACAAAGGAAAAACCUGUCUUGCUGCUACCAUUUAAAAAAAAAAGAAGUACAGUUAGGUUCUUACUUGACGUGUUUUUUCAUUUUUCUCAAGAGCGCUAGCCAUAGAUAUACAUAUGAUAAAUGAGACUGGCUUCAAAUAUAUAUUGUAAUGUAAAUUAUUAUGGAUUUAAUUCUUAAAACUAGUAUGGAUUUAAUAAAUAACAGUUCUGAUUUU
Anthonomus grandis grandis is the source of this 1416-nucleotide long non-coding RNA. RefSeq lists it as uncharacterized. The record is from RefSeq and is a predicted model, not a curated record. The transcript is spliced from 3 exons. NCBI's taxonomy places the organism in Eukaryota, Metazoa, Arthropoda, Insecta, Coleoptera, Curculionidae.